Molecule: ribosomal RNA, 303 nt
Filed under: uncultured bacterium
Lineage: Bacteria
Description: partial 16S ribosomal RNA
Rfam family: Bacterial small subunit ribosomal RNA
Source: RNAcentral
AGCAGUCGCCGCGGUAAUACGUAGGGUGCGAGCGUUAAUCGGAAUUGCUGGGCGUAAAGCGCACGCAGGCGGUCUGUCAAGUCAGAUGUGAAAUCCCCGGGCUUAACCUGGGAACUGCAUUUGAAACUGGCAGGCUAGAGUCUUGUAGAGGGGGGUAGAAUUCCAGGUGUAGCGGUGAAAUGCGUAGAGACCUGGAGGAAUACCGGUGGCGAAGGCGGCCCCCUGGACAAAGACUGACGCUCAGGUGCGAAAGCGUGGGGAGCAAACAGGAUUAGAUACCCCUGUAGUCCCUGUCUCUUAUAC